Molecule: ribosomal RNA, 449 nt
Filed under: Roseobacter sp. SCB34
Lineage: Bacteria; Pseudomonadati; Pseudomonadota; Alphaproteobacteria; Rhodobacterales; Roseobacteraceae
Description: bacterial SSU rRNA
Rfam family: Bacterial small subunit ribosomal RNA
Source: RNAcentral
UGAUCCUGGCUCAGAACGAACGCUGGCGGCAGGCCUAACACAUGCAAGUCGAGCGAGACCUUCGGGUCUAGCGGCGGACGGGUUAGUAACGCGUGGGAACGUGCCCUUCUCUGCGGAAUAGCCACUGGAAACGGUGAGUAAUACCGCAUACGCCCUUCGGGGGAAAGAUUUAUCGGAGAAGGAUCGGCCCGCGUUAGAUUAGAUAGUUGGUGGGGUAAUGGCCUACCAAGUCUACGAUCUAUAGCUGGUUUUAGAGGAUGAUCAGCAACACUGGGACUGAGACACGGCCCAGACUCCUACGGGAGGCAGCAGUGGGGAAUCUUAGACAAUGGGCGCAAGCCUGAUCUAGCCAUGCCGCGUGUGUGAUGAAGGUCUUAGGAUCGUAAAGCACUUUCGCCAGGGAUGAUAAUGACAGUACCUGGUAAAGAAACCCCGGCUAACUCCGUGCC